AGUGAACGCUGGCGGUAGGCCUAACACAUGCAAGUCGAACGGCAGCACAGAGGAGCUUGCUCCUUGGGUGGCGAGUGGCGGACGGGUGAGGAAUACAUCGGAAUCUACUCUGUCGUGGGGGAUAACGUAGGGAAACUUACGCUAAUACCGCAUACGACCCACGGGUGAAAGCAGGGGACCUUCGGGCCUUGCGCGAUUGAAUGAGCCGAUGUCGGAUUAGCUAGUUGGCGGGGUAAAGGCCCACCAAGGCGACGAUCCGUAGCUGGUCUGAGAGAGUGAGCAGCCACACUGGAACUGAAAAACGGUCCAGCCUCCUACGGGGGGCGGCAGUGGGGAAUAUGGGAGAAUGGGCGCAAGCUUGAUCCAGCAAACCCGCGUAGGUGAAAAGGGCUUUGGGUUUGUAAGGCCUUUUUGUGGGAAAAGAAACCAAGCUGGCAAAUACCCGGUUGGGAUGACGGUACCCAAAAAAUAAGCCCCGGCAAACUUCGUGCAAGCGGCGGCCGCCG
RNAcentral lists this ribosomal RNA (506 nucleotides) under uncultured bacterium. RNAcentral describes it as "partial 16S ribosomal RNA". It matches the Rfam family "Bacterial small subunit ribosomal RNA", at positions 29 to 523 of the family's 1533-position model. The record is from RNAcentral.